GACGAACGCUGGCGGCGUGCUUAACACAUGCAAGUCGAACGGAAAGGCCCCUUUGGGGGUACUCGAGUGGCGCACGGGUGAGUAACACGUGAGUAACCUGCCCUUGACUUCGGGAUAACUUCAGGAAACUGGGGCUAAUACCGGAUAGGAAUCCUUGCUGCAUGGUGGGGGUUGGAAAGCUUCGGCGGUUUUGGAUGGACUCGCGGCUUAUCAGCUUGUUGGUGGGGUAGUGGCUUACCAAGGCUUUGACGGGUAGCCGGCCUGAGAGGGCGACCGGCCACAUUGGGACUGAGAUGCGGCCCAGACUCCUACGGGAGGCAGCAGUGGGGAAGAUUGCACAAUGGGCGGAAGCCUGAUGCAGCAACGCCGCGUGCGGGAGGACGGCCUUCGGGUUGUAAACCGCUUUCAGCAGGGGCGAAGCUUGUGGUGACGGUACCUGCAGAAGAAGCACCGGCUAACUACGUG
This 465-nucleotide ribosomal RNA is filed under the name uncultured bacterium. RNAcentral describes it as "partial 16S ribosomal RNA". It matches the Rfam family "Bacterial small subunit ribosomal RNA", at positions 28 to 507 of the family's 1533-position model. The record is from RNAcentral.